UGGAAACACAGCACUCAACCCCUUCACUGACCCCUGUGGGGAACGAAAGGAGACCGGGCGCUAGGCAGCUCAUUUUGGAGAUAGGAAACUAAUCCAGCUAGUGAUCAGACAGAACCAACUCACUAGCAACAUGCUCCUUUGAAUGAGGUCAACUGUCUGCUCACAGCCAUGAUGUCAGUUCUCGAGGGUUAUAUUUAAUAUGCUUCUCACACUACAGAGAAAAAAAAAUGACUACAUUAGAGGUGAGGUAAGUUAGAAUACUUAUCACUCGAUAUCUAUUUCUGUGCUGGAGGUU
Molecule: long non-coding RNA, 295 nt
Organism: Struthio camelus australis
Lineage: Eukaryota; Metazoa; Chordata; Aves; Struthioniformes; Struthionidae
Source: Ensembl